GACUUGAGUUCGAUAGUGGAAAACUCUUUCUUCCACUUUAUAUUACUGCCCUGGCCAAGGUCUUAGAACUCAGUCUAACAAAUCACAUAGGAUCACUCCUCUUCUAUCAAGGUCGAUAGAUUUCUUGUAGAUGCAUACCCUACUCCUACAGUGAACCUACUGCAGCCAAUCUACACUGCAUGGACCCAUAUGGGUAGAGACCAUAUAUGUGUGCAGUCAAACUACAAUAACCUCACUGUGAGUAGCCGAAGCACCGCAGGUCAAAGGACCAGUCACACUACUGCAACAUCAAGCAAGUCACUGACGAGUGGAUAGACAUCCAAGUGACUUUUUGUCUUGG
RNAcentral lists this long non-coding RNA (340 nucleotides) under Phoenix dactylifera (date palm). RNAcentral describes it as "long non-coding RNA (PDAC_LNC020956)". The record is from RNAcentral. Lineage: Eukaryota; Viridiplantae; Streptophyta; Magnoliopsida; Arecales; Arecaceae.